CCGACGGUGAGGGGCGAAAGCUGGGGGCACGAACCGGAUUAGAUACCCGGGUAGUCCCAGCCGUAAACGAUGCUCGCUAGGUGUCUGGGAUGGUGCGACCGUUUCAGGUGCCGCAGGGAAGCCGUGAAGCGAGCCACCUGGGAAGUACGGCCGCAAGGCUGAAACUUAAAGGAAUUGGCGGGGGAGCACUACAACGGGUGGAGCCCGCGGUUUAAUUGGACUCAACGCCGGAAAACUCACCUGGGGC
This 247-nucleotide ribosomal RNA is filed under the name uncultured archaeon. RNAcentral describes it as "partial 16S ribosomal RNA". It matches the Rfam family "Archaeal small subunit ribosomal RNA", at positions 691 to 937 of the family's 1478-position model. The record is from RNAcentral.